Molecule: ribosomal RNA, 356 nt
Filed under: uncultured bacterium
Lineage: Bacteria
Description: bacterial SSU rRNA
Rfam family: Bacterial small subunit ribosomal RNA
Source: RNAcentral
AACGAACGCUGGCGGCAGGCCUAACACAUGCAAGUCGAACGCCCCGCAAGGGGAGUGGCAGACGGGUGAGUAACACGUGGGAACGUACCCUUCGGUUCGGGAUAACUCAGGGAAACUUGAGCUAAUACCGGAUACGUCCGAGAGGAGAAAGAUUUAUCGCCGAGGGAUCGGCCCGCGUCUGAUUAGCUUGUUGGUGAGGUAACGGCUCACCAAGGCGACGAUCAGUAGCUGGUCUGAGAGGAUGGCCAGCCACAUUGGGACUGAGAGACGGCCCAGACUCCUACGGGAGGCAGCAGUGGGAAUCUUGCGCAAUGGCCGAAAGGCUGACGCAGCGACGCCGCGUGUGGGAGGACGCC